UACGUAGGGGGCGAGCGUUGUCCGGAGUUACUGGGCGUAAAGCGCACGCAGGCGGUCUGUUAAGUUUGGCGUGACAGUUGGUGGCUCAACCACCAAAGUGCUUUGAAAACUGGCAGACUUGAGGGCUUCAGAGGGACACGGAAUUCCGGGUGGAGUGGUGAAAUGCGUAGAGAUCCGGAGGAACACCGAAGGCGAAGGCAGUGUCCUGGGGAGUACCUGACGCUCAGGUGCGAAAGCCAGGGGAGCGAACGGG
Molecule: ribosomal RNA, 253 nt
Filed under: uncultured bacterium
Lineage: Bacteria
Description: partial 16S ribosomal RNA
Rfam family: Bacterial small subunit ribosomal RNA
Source: RNAcentral